Molecule: non-coding RNA, 2696 nt
Organism: Camellia sinensis
Lineage: Eukaryota; Viridiplantae; Streptophyta; Magnoliopsida; Ericales; Theaceae
Source: RefSeq, a predicted model, not a curated record
GAGCAGGACUUGGAUGUAUUCUGGGAGAUCUUGGUGACAAUGAUGAGGGCCCAGAUGAUGGAGACGGGAAUUUAGAUGAUGAUUUUGAGAAGAUCUAGUUUGGAAGAUGGAAAGAGAAAUGGCCGAAGGUCACCCUAGUGGCUGCACACAAUAUUCAAUGCUAAGAUUUCCAAGAGUAUAAAGCAUUGCCGUCAAUGGAGAAGAUGAUUAACAUGGAUGACCAGUGAUGAUCCAACUAUCUCCACACUUUCAUUUAUUUUAAUAUCCCUCAUUUAAUAGCCCACCUUACUUUUUUCUUUGGGGGAAAUGUGGGUUUGGUGCUGUUAAGUUCAAUGACCAUCUGUAGUUAGGAUUUUAGUUUUUAUUAUUAUUAUUAUUAUUUUAUUUUAUUUUAUUCUGUUUUCUUCUGGUUUUUAUUUUUGUUAUUUUAUCAAUACAACAAUAAUUCAUGCUGGGCUUGUCUUUUUAAUAUAUAUAUAUUUUUUUCUAAAGACCUAAAUCAUGUACAUUAAAUUUUUUGUCCUUGUUUUUCGAACACAGAUGUCCUUUAGCAUUAACAUAUGCUCAAAACUGUAGAGAUGUGCUCUUUGUUUUGCAGAAGCAGAGCUAUAUUUCUUCAGAAAAUUGUCAUUUUCGUCGAGCAGUUUUGGUUGCUUAAAUUUGGAGAGUCCCGGUAACAUUUCUGGUAAAGCUAUAUUAUUUCAGAAAACAAACCCUUUUCCUCAUAUGAUUAAUGGCUUAUUGCUUGAUUAGUUUUGGACAAAUUAAUAGGGUGUAUAAUACCUUAUUAUGCAGGGAAGCAAUUGGAAAAAUUCGUAUUAGUCUUUUAUAUAGAAAAAAAACUCAAAACAAUUUUUGUACAAAACUUCUCGUAGAGCUAGGUAAUAUUUUUUUCUUCUAAUUUUUCAUUUAAUCAGUUAUUGUAAUUGUGAUAUCUCUUAGCUUCCAAAUGCCCAUCCAUGUGGCAUCUACGGAAUAAAUGAAAAGCAAUGGGAUCUGUGAAUAUUUAACUCCCAGAACCCUUUAUAUUUUCACAGCACAGAGGUAUUCUCUUCUCAAUUUCUCUCAUUCAUUGUAUUCUCAAAAGUAGUGUAAUUUUUUUUUUUAUUGAAGUCAUUAUCUUUAAAUCUAUGACUCUAUUUUACUUUGCUUUACAAAGUAGUCUCCGCUCUGUUUUAGUUUGAAUCUUUGCUUUUUCUAUUCUAUUAAAACUAAAAAGCUUCUCAACCUUCAAAAUCAAGGUCUCUUUAAUUUUUAUUUAUUUAUGUUCUUUCUUCUCUAGUUUUGGUUUUUUUGCUGAGGUGUGCUAUAUUUACAUUCCUUUCUUUGUGAAGAAAAAGACAUAACAUAUAUGCAUUGGUAAUUAUAUUAUGUAAAAAAUAUAGCAUUUAUGAUGUGUAUUGAGAAUAAGCUAUCACCCAUUUCAUUUUGUCCAUUUUGUCUACACAUGUCUCUACACAUAUAUAUGAUCUCUUUGAGAAUAAGCUAUGAUGUGUAUUGAGAAUAAGCUAUCACCCAUUUCAUUUUGUCCAUUUUGUCUACACAUGUCUCUACACAUAUAUAUGAUCUCUUUGAGAAUAAGCUAUGAUGUGUAUUGAGAAUAAGCUAUCACCCAUUCUUAAUAUUCACUUAAUAUUCUGCACUUGAUGAAUAUUAGGCAUGAUCAUGCUUCUUUGCAGAAAGAAUUCUGAAUGAUUUCUGUGAAAUAGUUUUGAAAUGGUUCUUUUUCUAUGAAAUAAUUUCUAUUGGUUUCUCUUUAAUGGGUUUGAGGGGUUUCUAAUACAUUGAAAUAAGAUGAUGGAAACUCUCUUUUUAUCAGAUGAUGGAAAAAUAAAUUAGUUUUUCCAAUUAUGAAAUUUUGAUACAUGAUCACAAUUGUUUUGUUUGCUCAAAUGGCUAUUUAUCUUAAACAGCUAACUAUUUUGCCUUUACAAAACACUGCUAUCUCUUAUUUAAGUUGAUUUUUCUUUUUUCUUUUUUAUUUUUUAUUUUUAAAAGAUGAAAUGAAACACUGCUAUGACAAUUUUUCUUUUUCAAUUUAGAUACUGCAUUAAAUUAGGAAAUGCUUUAGCUUUUUACAAUGGUUUAUUUAGCUAACCAAACUUGAAUGGCGAAAAAAGAUUCAUAUAGUUGACUCCACUUGAUUGGGACACAAGGCUUAGUUUGGUUUGGUUUGUUAUAAUAGUUUAUUUAACUAAAUAUUGUAUAGUGGCAUAUUGAAUUUCAACAUUUUUCUACAUUGCAAAUGUUGUGUAAAUUUUCGUCUUGUAUGCUCAUUUUUUCCCCUGCAUGUUGUAGUUAGUUUAGAAGCAAUACAAAUGGUUAAUGUUCAAUUAUUUGGGACUCGUGGAGCUCACAUUUUAGGGAUAUAGUGAUAUGGGGAUCAGAUAUGUUAGCAACCAAGCGAGGGAAGUCAUGUAGUCGUCUCAUUUCUUUUACCGAGCCAAUGAACCGUCUUAUUUACUUAUUUGGUAGGUUAUAAAUAAUAAUAAAAUAAAAAUUGUUUGGCCACUUUAUAGAACUCUGUGGCUGGAAGAUUUUGUGAUUUGGUGGGUCGACAUGGGUUCGAUAAUGAAAAAAAUAUUUAUGUCGCGCCCUGGGGGCUUUGGCUCUACAGUUCAGACUCAAAUGUUAUGGUUCUAAAUCUAAUCUUGCAAAGUGCAAUGCGAGACCGAUAAAUCACUAAAGAGUUCAAA